ACACACUCACAAGGUCACUUUCAAUAAGAUUCUAAGAGUUUAUUUCUCUCAUUUUUAUUAAAAGUCCUUAAUUUAAAGUAAAAAAGAAGAAGAAAUGGAGGGUACCAAGAAAUUUUCUAUGGUUUUCAGUAUUUGCAUAAUGAUUAUUGUGGCUUUUGGGAAUGUUGGAGUGUUAGCUGCAGGAGCAGAAGCACCUGCACCUUCACCUGCAAUGGAGAAUGCUGGAGUUACUUUGUUUGUUCCUGUUCUAAUGGCUGCCAUUGCUUCAAUGGCUGCUAUCUUUUUCUAAACUUUUUUUUCCCUUUAAUUUUGUGUUUUUUCUUUUAUGUUUGUAACAUCGCGAUUUUUUGUUGAGAUUCUCGAUGUUUUUUUUUCCCUUCUUUAAUUUUGUGUUUUUUUCCAAUGUUUGUAAUAUUAAGAUUAUUUCUCGAUGUCUAAUAAGAAUUUAAUUUUAUUAUUCUGGAAAAAUAGUUUUACUAUAAUGUUAUCUCCUCUGCGAAAUAAUGGACACAUAAUCCAUACUUAUAUAUAAAGUUACAACUAAGUAAAAACGUCUCAGCCUGUUUAACGAA
This 572-nucleotide long non-coding RNA is filed under the name Nicotiana benthamiana. RNAcentral describes it as "long non-coding RNA (NBEN_LNC007710)". Lineage: Eukaryota; Viridiplantae; Streptophyta; Magnoliopsida; Solanales; Solanaceae. The record is from RNAcentral.